This 253-nucleotide ribosomal RNA is filed under the name uncultured bacterium. Its description in RNAcentral is "partial 16S ribosomal RNA". It matches the Rfam family "Bacterial small subunit ribosomal RNA", at positions 524 to 776 of the family's 1533-position model. The record is from RNAcentral.
UACGGAGGGUGCAAGCGUUAUCCGGAUUCACUGGGUUUAAAGGGUGCGUAGGCGGGCAGGUAAGUCAGUGGUGAGAUCCCCGGGCUUAACUUGGGAACUGCCGUUGAUACUAUCUGUCUUGAAUAUCGUGGAGGUGAGCGGAAUAUGUCAUGUAGCGGUGAAAUGCUUAGAUAUGACAUAGAACACCCAUUGCGAAGGCAGCUCACUACACGAUAAUUGACGCUGAGGCACGAAAGCGUGGGGAGCAAACAGG